CCCUUAGAUGUUCUGGGCUGCACGCGCGCUACACUGAUACUUUCAGCGAGUCCACCACCUUGCCUGAGAGGGUGGGGUAACCUCUGGAAAGUGUAUCGUGAUGGGGAUCGAUUAUUGUAAUUAUUAAUCUUCAACGAGGAAUUCCUAGUAAGCAUGUGUCAUCAGCCCGUGCUGAUUACGUCCCUGCCCUUUGUACACACCGCCCGUCGCUCCUACCGAUUGGGUGUGCUGGUGAAAUGUUCGGAUCGGCCGUUUGUCGCGGUUUCCGCGUCAUGUGGCUGAGAAGUUCAUUAAACCCUCCCACCUAGAGGAAGGAGAAGUCGUAACA
RNAcentral lists this ribosomal RNA (328 nucleotides) under uncultured eukaryote. RNAcentral describes it as "partial 18S ribosomal RNA". It matches the Rfam family "Eukaryotic small subunit ribosomal RNA", at positions 1470 to 1796 of the family's 1831-position model. The record is from RNAcentral.